RNAcentral lists this ribosomal RNA (423 nucleotides) under Scinax strigilatus. RNAcentral describes it as "partial 16S ribosomal RNA". It matches the Rfam family "Bacterial large subunit ribosomal RNA", at positions 1946 to 2567 of the family's 2925-position model. Lineage: Eukaryota; Metazoa; Chordata; Amphibia; Anura; Hylidae. The record is from RNAcentral.
CCGUGCGAAGGUAGCGUAAUCACUUGUUCUUUAAAUGAGGACUAGUAUGAACGGCAUCACGAGGGUUUUACUGUCUCCUUUUUCUAAUCAGUGAAACUGUUCUCCCCGUGAAGAGACGGGGAUAGACAUAUAAGACGAGAAGACCCUAUGGAGCUUUAAAUUUUAUUCAACUGCUUCACUAUGAUAAUAAAUUUUAGGUUGGGGUGACCGCGGAGCACAAAAAAACCUCCGUAUUGAAGGCCUAGCCUGAGCAAAGAGCUACGACUCCAAGCACUAAUACUUUAACAUCCAUUGACCCAAUAUGAUCAACGAACCAAGUUACCCUAGGGAUAACAGCGCAAUCUACUUUGAGAGCCCCUAUCGACAAGUGGGUUUACGACCUCGAUGUUGGAUCAGGGUAUCCCAGUGGUGCAGCCGCUACUA